Molecule: long non-coding RNA, 338 nt
Filed under: Nicotiana benthamiana
Lineage: Eukaryota; Viridiplantae; Streptophyta; Magnoliopsida; Solanales; Solanaceae
Description: long non-coding RNA (NBEN_LNC041877)
Source: RNAcentral
AGACAGGUCUUUACCCGAAUGGGUAGCAUGGGGAGAUGCCCCAAAUAUUCAAGUUGGUGGAUCCAGUGUGAACCCAUUUGAAGAUCAUAAUAAUUCUGCUGACCAUAUUGCUUCCUCGGGGGAGAUAGCAACUCCACCACUUAGUUCCACUUCUAGUUGCAGUGGAGAAUCUAUUCCAAAUGGUGUUUCAUCCCCUGGUUCGAGCAAAACUCGGAGGAGAUAGCAACUCCACCACUUAGUUCCACUUCUAGUUGCAGUGGAGAAUCUAUUCCAAAUGGUGUUUUAUCCCCUGGUUCGAGCAAAAGUUCAUCUGGAUCUGAUUCUAGUCAGAAAGCAGC